GAUGAAGAACGCAGCGAAAUGCGAUACGUAAUGUGAAUUGCAGAAUUCAGUGAAUCAUCGAAUCUUUGAACGCAUAUUGCGCUCUCUGGUAUUCCGGAGAGCAUGCUCGUUUGAGUAUCAGUAAACACCUCAACUUCCAUAUCUUUUUUUGAAAUGGGAGUUGGACUUGAGUGAUCCCAACGCUUUUCCUCACCGAAAAGUGGCGGGUUACUUGAAAUGCAGGUGCAGCUGGACUUUUCUCUGAGCUAUAAGCAUAUCUAUUUAGUCUGCCUAAAAAACAGAUUAUUACCUUUGCUGCAGCUAACAUAAAGGAGAUUAGUUCUUGUGCUGACUGAUGCAGGAUUCACAAAGACAGCUUCGGCCGACUUUGUAAACUCGAUCUCAAAUCAAGUAAGACUACCCGCUGAACUUAAGCAUAUCAAUAAGCGGAGGA
This 433-nucleotide unclassified non-coding RNA is filed under the name soil metagenome. RNAcentral describes it as "partial contains 5.8S ribosomal RNA, internal transcribed spacer 2, and large subunit ribosomal RNA". The stretch from base 1 to 120 matches the Rfam family "5.8S ribosomal RNA", at positions 35 to 154 of the family's 154-position model. The record is from RNAcentral.